This 253-nucleotide ribosomal RNA is filed under the name uncultured bacterium. RNAcentral describes it as "partial 16S ribosomal RNA". It matches the Rfam family "Bacterial small subunit ribosomal RNA", at positions 524 to 776 of the family's 1533-position model. The record is from RNAcentral.
UACGUAGGGGGCGAGCGUUGUCCGAAGUUACUGGGCGUAAAGCGCGCGUAGGCGGCUGCUUAAGUUAGAUGUGAAAUCCUGCGGCUCAACCGCAGAACUGCAUCUGAAACUGGGCGGCUAGAGGAUGGAAGAGGGCAGUGGAAUUCCUGGUGUAGCGGUGAAAUGCGUAGAUAUCAGGAGGAACACCCGAGGGGAAGGCGGCUGCCUGGUCCAUAUCUGACGCUGAGGUGCGAAAGCCAGGGGAGCGAACGGG